UACUAAGGGUCCAAGCGUUGUUCGGAAUCAUUGGGCGUAAAGCGCGCGCAGGCGGGUCAGCAAGUCAGAUGUGAAAUCUCGAAGCUCAACUUCGAAACUGCGUCUGAAACUGCUAGUCUAGAGUGUCGGAGGGGGUAGGGGAAUUUCACGUGUAGGGGUAAAAUCCGUAGAGAUGUGAAGGAACACCGGGGGCGAAGGCGCCUACCUGGACGACUACUGACGCUGAGGCGCGAAAGCGUGGGGAGCAAACAGG
Molecule: ribosomal RNA, 253 nt
Filed under: uncultured bacterium
Lineage: Bacteria
Description: partial 16S ribosomal RNA
Rfam family: Bacterial small subunit ribosomal RNA
Source: RNAcentral